UGGAUGUCCAAUAUAGAAGAUAAAGCCAAUGAGAAGCUAUGGAUGUUGAGAAUGGUGAAAGGAGAUUGUUUAUAUCAACAUCAGUCCAAGAUCAAAGAAUAUCUCCCUCUAGCCCAUGAUGCUCAGUCCCAUUUUCCAGAAGUCAACAGUAGAGGCAGAUGUCUGAGUGAAUGCCUGAGUCAGUGCAGAGAGAGCAGAUCCAAGAACGAAGAGAACACACUCAGCCCUGGUCCUUCCAGAAAUACAAAGAGAAAACAAAACCAAGAAGCCAGGCAAACAAACACAAAACAAAGAAACAGAACCAGCUCUGGAGAGAACAAACAUUGGGGAAAGAGUAACCUGAGGAUCCUUCCAUCAAGGGGAAGAGAGAGAAAAGACAAGGGACCAAGAUAGAAGAUCCUGUGUUCAAUUUAGGUGGCAGUGUGCAUAGCUGAGCCACUGUAUGCUGAAAAUAAGCAGAGAAGAUUGUGGCUAGGUUUCCUGAUAGAGUGCUGCUCUUCCUGACUUCUAUGUUGGCUUCUUCCUGCUUAGAGAGGAGAUACAGGAUGCUUGUUAGUGAGAUGGCCAUCUCAUCAGUAAGAGAUCAAGGUAUAAAGUAAAUGAUCAGGCUCUUGCUACCCAGAAUUCCCUGGGAAACAGAGGGACACACUUUAUCUGGGACA
Mus caroli (Ryukyu mouse) is the source of this 662-nucleotide long non-coding RNA. RefSeq lists it as uncharacterized. NCBI's taxonomy places the organism in Eukaryota, Metazoa, Chordata, Mammalia, Rodentia, Muridae. The record is from RefSeq and is a predicted model, not a curated record.